Molecule: ribosomal RNA, 271 nt
Filed under: uncultured archaeon
Lineage: Archaea
Description: partial 16S ribosomal RNA
Rfam family: Archaeal small subunit ribosomal RNA
Source: RNAcentral
CAGCGCCACGAGUGGCAAUCACGUUUAUUGGGCCUAAAGCGUCCGUAGCCUGUUUGGUAAGUCUUUUGUGAAAUCGUUGUGCCUAACAUAACGUUGUGCAAAAGAGACUGCCAGACUUGGAACCGGGAAGGGUCAGAGGUAUUCUUGGGGGAGCGGUAAAAUGCUAUAAUCCCAAGAGGACCACCUGUGGCGAAGGCGUCUGACUAGAACGGCUUCGACGGUGAGGGACGAAAGCUGAGGGAGCAAUUCGGAUUAGAUACCCGAGUAGUCC